GGACACGCUGGGGGCGUCUAACACAUGCAAGUCGAACGACGAAGGGAGCUUGCUCCUCAAGUUAGUGGCGGACGGGUGAGUAACGCGUGAGUAACCUGCCUUUCUAAGGGGGAAUAACAUUCUGAAAAGGAUGCUAAUACCGCAUGACAUCGUAGUAUCGCAUGGUACAGCGAUCAAAGGAGCAAUCCGCUGAAAGAUGGACUCGCGUCCGAUUAGCUAGUUGGCGGGGAUAAAGGACCCACCCAAGGCGACGAUCGGUAGCCGGACUGAGAGGUUGAUCGGCCACAUUGGGACUGAGACACGGCCCAGACUCCUACGGGAGGGCAGCAGUGGGGGAGUAUUGCACAAUGGGGGAAACCCGUCGAUGCAGCAACGCCGCGUGAAGGAAGAAGGUCUUCGGAUUGUAAACUUACUGUCCUCAGGGAAGGAUAAUGACGGUACCUGAGGAGGAAGCUCCGGCUAACUACGUGCCAGCAGCCGCGGUAA
This 486-nucleotide ribosomal RNA is filed under the name uncultured bacterium. Its description in RNAcentral is "bacterial SSU rRNA". It matches the Rfam family "Bacterial small subunit ribosomal RNA", at positions 33 to 523 of the family's 1533-position model. The record is from RNAcentral.